UAAAAAGUAUUAGAGGCACUGCCUGCCCGGUGACUUCAGUUUAACGGCCGCGGUAUCCUGACCGUGCAAAGGUAGCAUAAUCACUUGUUCCCUAAAUAGGGACUAGUAUGAAUGGCCUAACGAGGGUUUCACUGUCUCUUACUUCCAAUCAGUGAAAUUGAUCUUCCCGUGAAGAAGCGGGAAUGAAAAAAUUAGACGAGAAGACCCUAUGGAGCUUUAAUUAACCAGCCCAUCCUUAAUCAUAUAACAUCUACAAGAGCUAACCACCCAAUAACUGAGCUGGCAAUUUGGGUUGGGGUGACCUCGGAAUAAAAAGUAACUUCCGAAGAAAAAAAACAAGACCUACAAGUCAAAAAUACUUCUCCUAUUGAUCCGUUCAUAACGACCAACGAAACAAGUUACCCUAGGGAUAACAGCGCAAUCCUAUUUAAGAGUCCAUAUCGACAAUUAGGGUUUACGACCUCGAUGUUGGAUCAGGACAUCCCAAUGGUGCAAAAGCUAUUAAUGUGUUCGUUUGUUCAAC
RNAcentral lists this ribosomal RNA (523 nucleotides) under Scotophilus kuhlii (Lesser asiatic yellow house bat). RNAcentral describes it as "partial 16S ribosomal RNA". It matches the Rfam family "Bacterial large subunit ribosomal RNA", at positions 1837 to 2585 of the family's 2925-position model. Lineage: Eukaryota; Metazoa; Chordata; Mammalia; Chiroptera; Vespertilionidae. The record is from RNAcentral.